This 404-nucleotide ribosomal RNA is filed under the name bacterium enrichment culture clone ALO1_GLFRUDD03HF810. RNAcentral's name for it is "bacterial SSU rRNA". It matches the Rfam family "Bacterial small subunit ribosomal RNA", at positions 9 to 414 of the family's 1533-position model. The record is from RNAcentral.
GAGUUUGAUCGUGGCUCAGAUUGAACGCUGGCGGCAUGCCUUACACAUGCAAGUCGAACGGCAGCACGGGAGCUUGCUCCUGGUGGCGAGUGGCGAACGGGUGAGUAAUGCAUCGGAAUGUAUCCUGGAGUGGGGGAUAACGUAGCGAAAGUUACGCUAAUACCGCAUAUUCUGUGAGCAGGAAAGCGGGGGACCUUCGGGCCUCGCGCUCUUGGAGCGGCCGAUGUCGGAUUAGCUAGUUGGUGAGGUAAAGGCUCACCAAGGCGACGAUCCGUAGCAGGUCUGAGAGGAUGAUCUGCCACACUGGAACUGAGACACGGUCCAGACUCCUACGGGAGGCAGCAGUGGGAAUUUUGGACAAUGGGGGCAACCCUGAUCCAGCCAUGCCGCGUGAGUGAAGAGGA